UUUGACGAUUUUGUCUUGCAGCCGUCCGUGCGUGUUUUCUUAUCAACCAAAACGAUUGCGUGAGAAAUUCAAUCAUCAUCUGGAAUUCCUAAUAAUUUGUUCACAAAAAAUCCUCGAAAAUGUUCCGCAUGGAAUUGCCUCCAAGUGAUGCCGCCGAGGAGAAACGGAAAGUACGAAAAGCGGUCCAGUCGAAUCUAUUUGCCUUUGUUGCGCUGUGCGUUGCCAUCCGGAUCGCUCCUCUGCUUUUGAACCGGCCAAGCCCCGUAUAACAAGUUGAUAGAUUAUAAAAUAUGGAAUAAAAAGAGUGAUUAAAUUGAAA
Armigeres subalbatus is the source of this 319-nucleotide long non-coding RNA. RefSeq lists it as uncharacterized. The transcript has 2 exons. Lineage: Eukaryota; Metazoa; Arthropoda; Insecta; Diptera; Culicidae. The record is from RefSeq and is a predicted model, not a curated record.